GGGCCUUUAGCUCAGCGGUUAGAGCAGGGGACUCAUAAUCCCUUGGUCGUCGGUUCGAAUCCGACAGGGCCCA
Molecule: transfer RNA, 73 nt
Filed under: Termitidicoccus mucosus
Lineage: Bacteria; Pseudomonadati; Verrucomicrobiota; Opitutia; Opitutales; Opitutaceae
Description: Opitutaceae bacterium TSB47 tRNA
Rfam family: tRNA
About the family: Transfer RNA (tRNA) molecules are approximately 80 nucleotides in length. Their secondary structure includes four short double-helical elements and three loops (D, anti-codon, and T loops).
Source: Rfam by way of RNAcentral